This 229-nucleotide long non-coding RNA is filed under the name Capsicum annuum. RNAcentral describes it as "long non-coding RNA (CANN_LNC011042)". Lineage: Eukaryota; Viridiplantae; Streptophyta; Magnoliopsida; Solanales; Solanaceae. The record is from RNAcentral.
CGUGAAGGAAUUUCCUCCUGAAUAGGAGAGAUUAAAACCAUAGGAACUUGUCUGCCUGACUGCUAAAUUGAAUUAUUGUCUAUACAAACUAACUCAUACUAAAAUCUUAUACUUAACUAGAGUAUUUCUUCGACACUCUUUAUUAACUAUACCUUCCAUCUUAAUACUGUACUUCACUUUAGGCUACUAAAAAUAUUGACAUGGACACUGAUAACUCUACCUACUGAAG